Molecule: ribosomal RNA, 1068 nt
Filed under: Triticum aestivum (bread wheat)
Lineage: Eukaryota; Viridiplantae; Streptophyta; Magnoliopsida; Poales; Poaceae
Description: partial small subunit ribosomal RNA
Source: RNAcentral
AUGACUAACAUGUACAACAUGCCCUUUGCACCAUUCAUUGGGAUUAACAUGCAUGGGCAGUCAUUCAUGUUGGGCUGUGGCUUUGUUAGGCAAGAGUUGGCGUCAAGCUUUGAUUGGCUAUUCCAAACCUUCCUUGAGGCAAUGCAUAAUGUAGCACCCACCAACAUCAUAACCGACCAAGACAUCGCAAUGGCACAGUCAAUUAAAAAGAUCUUUCCUACAAGUGUGCACCGCUGUUGCCGCUGGCAUAUUAUGAAAAAAGCACAAGAAAAGCUUGGAGCAUUGCUGGGGCGAAACCCUGGCUUGUCCAAAGAUUUCAACAACUGUGUUGACUUUAAAUUGACGCGGGAAGAAUUUGAGGCAGGGUGGUGUGAGCUGAUGAUGAAGUAUGAGGCUAUGACUGACUCUCACUUCGAGAAUCUAUACAAGUACAGAGAGACAUGGGUACCCUGCUAUUUCAAGCACCAAUUCUUCCCUUUCUUGCAGUCAACUCAACGCAGCGAGGGGUUCAAUGCUGUCCUUAAGCGAUAUGUGAACCCACACAAGUCCAUUUUGAACUUUGUGAAGCAAUAUCAGAAAAUCCAAACACACAUACUAGUUCGUGAGGGUUCAAAAGACUACAGGACAGCACAUUUACAGACUGAAAUGUGGUCACCUUACCCAAUAGAGAAGCAGGCGUACGGAUCGUAUACUAGGGACUUGUACAAGAAGUUUCGUGAUGAGUUUCAGUUGACUACAAGGUACAAUGUGCGACCGCAUGGUGAAAACUUGUAUGAGGUUUACCCCAAUCAAGAGCGGGUUGCCAAAUAUGGUUCUAGGGGCUAUUUUGUCACGGUAGAAGCCAGUGCUGGAGACUACAGAUGUGACUGCUGCAAGAUUGAGAGGGACGGCAUGCUUUGCUGCCAUAUCUUGAAAGUUUUCAACCAACUUGGUGUUGAUGAAAUCCUAGCGCAGUACAUACUCAGGAGAUGGACACCUAUGGCAAUCCCCAACGCACCCCCUGCUGUCGAAGAGCAACCUGAUGAGAUGCCACCACAGUCGAAAAAGGAACUCAGGCAUGCAAUUUGA